Cebus imitator (Panamanian white-faced capuchin) is the source of this 491-nucleotide long non-coding RNA. RefSeq lists it as uncharacterized. The transcript is spliced from 2 exons. The record is from RefSeq and is a predicted model, not a curated record. NCBI's taxonomy places the organism in Eukaryota, Metazoa, Chordata, Mammalia, Primates, Cebidae.
AGGCUGUGAGGGAUGGUCCACCCAAGAGAAGCCUCAACAGUUUCCCCAAAUAAUUUCUGCAGGCUGGGACACCUGAGUGAAAUGAAGAAAUGGGAUUCAGCAGAGAGAAAUGUUAAGUCUGCCAGCUGGCCCUGAGAAGCAGGCAUGACAAGGGAGGAUACCUGUGUCACAGAUGAGGAAAACAGAGGCCUGGGGAAGAAGCUUGCCUGAUGCCACUCAGAAGGUAGACGCAAAGCCGGGAAAGGCGCUGGGUCCCUAGACUGCCCCUCUGGAACUCCACCAUGCAGCCGCCUGGCUGUCCUGCCUGGGAUGCCAUCUCCAGGCUAGCCUGGCACUCAUGCCCAUGCCCUGCUGAGCACUGGCACCCCGCAGAGCUUAAUGCCCUGCUGAGCCUGCCCUGCAGCCCUUGCCAAGUCUGUUGGAGUGGCUUCAGUCAUUGGCAAGUCACAUUGCUGACAUCACAACUGCAUAAAAUUAAUUUAUUUAGUUAA